UACGUAGGGUGCAAGCGUUGUCCGGAAUUAUUGGGCGUAAAGAGCUCGUAGGCGGUUUGGCAAGUCGGGUGUGAAAUUUCGAGGCUCAACCUCGAAACGCCACUCGAUACUGCCAUGACUGGAGUCCGGUAGAGGAGUGCGGAAUUCCUGGUGUAGCGGUGAAAUGCGCAGAUAUCAGGAGGAACACCAACGGCGAAGGCAGCACUCUGGGCCGGUACUGACGCUGAGGAGCGAAAGCGUGGGGAGCAAACAGG
RNAcentral lists this ribosomal RNA (254 nucleotides) under uncultured bacterium. RNAcentral describes it as "partial 16S ribosomal RNA". It matches the Rfam family "Bacterial small subunit ribosomal RNA", at positions 524 to 776 of the family's 1533-position model. The record is from RNAcentral.